AGCUUGUGCUUCUUCCAGCCCAGUGUUUCUCAUGAUGUACUCUGCAUAUUUAAAACAAAUCCUGGGCACAUUUUAACAUACCAAUAGGAAAUGCAACAGUCUGCACACUAGGGGCACAUUACAGUCACCCAAGGAGCUGUCUGCCCAGCGCUUGUGCACAGAGCUUUCAUUUAAUUGGCCUGCAGAAAGGCCUCAGGUGAUAAUGUGUAGCCAGAGCGGAGACACUCAGCGAGUGGUUCUCAAAGUGUGAUCCUGGGAUCAGCAGCGUCAGUAUCCCCUGGGGGCUUGUUAGGAAUACAAAUUUGGAGGCCCCACCCACAUCUCCUAAUUCAAAACCUCUGGCAGUAAGGUCUUAAUCAAGUUCUCCUGGGUGACUGUGAAAGAGGCUAAAGUUUGCAAACCACUGUGCUGGGCUAAAGCAGAGCAGAGUCAGAGAAGCAGGCCACCAGUGGGCCGAGGGCCUGGAGCCCUUACAUUUCUGGCCACAUGUUUAAUGCCAUCUCCUGGUGCUGAGCAACAGCUUCUUCCCUUCCUGGAAUCUUGGUGCCCUCCAUUAAUCCUGCUGAAGUCUCGUUUAGAAGGACUUUGUACAACACGAACUUCAGUCCCGAGUAUGCAGCAGCAGUUCAGAUGUUCCUAACCCUGGGACAGUCAGACAUGAUCAGAUUUCUCUGACAAACGUGUUUCCUAAGUCAAAAGCAUCACCUUAGUGUUCAGUGCCUUACAGUGGCCUCCGUUUUAAAGAAAGCAUCUGUGUUAUAGAAAACUAGUCUCUGAACUUUAUUAUAUGGACCCCAUGCUGCUUAGUGCAGUGACAUUUUUCAUGGGUGACUGUGGUUGAGAAAGUUGUGAAGGACUGCGUAACUACACUUUACUGAGCAUAAUCAUUAAUAAAACAUAUGAUCACCUUCCUAC
RNAcentral lists this long non-coding RNA (915 nucleotides) under Capra hircus (goat). RNAcentral describes it as "lncRNA (ENSCHIG00010005616.1)". The record is from RNAcentral. Lineage: Eukaryota; Metazoa; Chordata; Mammalia; Artiodactyla; Bovidae.